Gymnodraco acuticeps is the source of this 930-nucleotide RNA transcript. It is a transcript of the gene named canopy FGF signaling regulator 1, with no coding region annotated. The record is from RefSeq and is a predicted model, not a curated record. The transcript is spliced from 7 exons. NCBI's taxonomy places the organism in Eukaryota, Metazoa, Chordata, Actinopteri, Perciformes, Bathydraconidae.
ACUUUGAAAGUUUUGACCGGAGAUGUACAACUUGUAGUGUAUUUGAAUGUAAACUGCGAUUGCUGAUCAUAGAUGAAAUAUUAACAUGUACAGGGUAAAGUAGUGACAGCUCGGCGGUCAUCAGUCAGAGAGCCCGCUGUGGAGCUCCUGUCAGGUUUGUAAUAUGGCCUCAUGGAUUAUUCAUGUGACUAUGAUGGUGCUCUCUGUGUUCAUCAGUAGCAGCCAGGGGAAGAGGGACCAGCAGCUCUACUGCUCCGCAUGCAAGGCCAUUGCUGACGAACUGAACUACUCGAUCAGCCAGAUUGACCCAAAGAAAACCAUCAACGUUGGCGGCUUUAGACUCAACCCUGACGGAACCAUGAAAGACAAAAAGGUACCCCUCGCCCGCUCAGAGACUCACCUCAGUGAGCUCCUGGAGGAGGUGUGCAACAGCAUGAACGACUACGCCCUCCAUGUUGACCCCGACACCCAGCACAAGCAGUACAGGAGGUUUGCUCCCAGGAGCGGCGGGGCCCCUGGGGAUUUCCCCGACUUUAACCACUUCCAGUUUGGCGGCCCAGACGCAUCCAACGCUCUGAAGUUCGCAAUUGGAUUGCUGCGAGGAAACAUUUGCAGCACUGUCCAAUCAAAAGCGAGUGUGUAGAGGAUUGCACAAAAAAAUGUGAGACGCUGGUGGAUGAUCUGGAGGAUGAGAUCAUCUUGUUGUUCAGACGGGACACGGAGCAUGUGAGCGAGGAGUUGUGCAGCAGAGUCUCAGACUACUGUAAAGACAGCAGUCACACUAACGAGGAAUUGUAGAGUUUCAAAGGAUGGAGGCGGGACCAGCUUUGUUGCAGAGAUCACAACAAAUCAAAUAAUAUUUCAAAUAAUCUGUUUUUGACAAAUUACUGACCUUUUGUAAUAAAUAAAAAAAUCUAAUGUUGAAAUCCA